GACGAACGCUGGCGGCGUGCCUAAUACAUGCAAGUUGAGCGCUGAAGGUUGGUACUUGUACCGACUGGAUGAGCAGCGAACGGGCGAGUAACGCGUGGGGCAUCUGCCUUUGAUCGGGGGACAACAUUUGGAAACGAAUGCUAAUACCGCAUAAAAACUUUAAACACAAGAUUUAAGUUUGAAAGAUGCAAUUGCAUCACUCAAAGAUGAUCCCGCGUUGUAUUAGCUAGGUGGUGAGGUAAAGGCUCACCAAGGCGAUGAUACAUAGCCGACCUGAGAGGGUGAUCGGCCACAUUGGGACUGUGACACGGCCCAAACUCCUACGGGAAGCAGCAGGAGGGAAUCUUCGGCAAUAGACGAAAGUCUGACCGAGCAACGCCGCGUGAGGGAAGAAGGUUUUCGGAUCGUAAAACUCUGUUGGUAGAGAAGAACGUUGGUGAGAGUGGAAAGCUCAUCAAGUGACGGUAACUACCCAGAAAGGAACGGCUAACUACGUG
This 497-nucleotide ribosomal RNA is filed under the name uncultured bacterium. RNAcentral's name for it is "partial 16S ribosomal RNA". It matches the Rfam family "Bacterial small subunit ribosomal RNA", at positions 28 to 507 of the family's 1533-position model. The record is from RNAcentral.